RNAcentral lists this ribosomal RNA (913 nucleotides) under Shigella sonnei. RNAcentral's name for it is "partial 23S ribosomal RNA". It matches the Rfam family "Bacterial large subunit ribosomal RNA", at positions 1948 to 2855 of the family's 2925-position model. Lineage: Bacteria; Pseudomonadati; Pseudomonadota; Gammaproteobacteria; Enterobacterales; Enterobacteriaceae. The record is from RNAcentral.
GUCCUAAGGUAGCGAAAUUCCUUGUCGGGUAAGUUCCGACCUGCACGAAUGGCGUAAUGAUGGCCAGGCUGUCUCCACCCGAGACUCAGUGAAAUUGAACUCGCUGUGAAGAUGCAGUGUACCCGCGGCAAGACGGAAAGACCCCGUGAACCUUUACUAUAGCUUGACACUGAACAUUGAGCCUUGAUGUGUAGGAUAGGUGGGAGGCUUUGAAGUGUGGACGCCAGUCUGCAUGGAGCCGGCCUUGAAAUACCACCCUUUAAUGUUUGAUGUUCUAACGUGGACCCGUGAUCCGGGUUGCGGACAGUGUCUGGUGGGUAGUUUGACUGGGGCGGUCUCCUCCUAAAGAGUAACGGAGGAGCACGAAGGUUGGCUAAUCCUGGUCGGACAUCAGGAGGUUAGUGCAAUGGCAUAAGCCAGCUUGACUGCGAGCGUGACGGCGCGAGCAGGUGCGAAAGCAGGUCAUAGUGAUCCGGUGGUUCUGAAUGGAAGGGCCAUCGCUCAACGGAUAAAAGGUACUCCGGGGAUAACAGGCUGAUACCGCCCAAGAGUUCAUAUCGACGGCGGUGUUUGGCACCUCGAUGUCGGCUCAUCACAUCCUGGGGCUGAAGUAGGUCCCAAGGGUAUGGCUGUUCGCCAUUUAAAGUGGUACGCGAGCUGGGUUUAGAACGUCGUGAGACAGUUCGGUCCCUAUCUGCCGUGGGCGCUGGAGAACUGAGGGGGGCUGCUCCUAGUACGAGAGGACCGGAGUGGACGCAUCACUGGUGUUCGGGUUGUCAUGCCAAUGGCACUGCCCGGUAGCUAAAUGCGGAAGAGAUAAGUGCUGAAAGCAUCUAAGCACGAAACUUGCCCCGAGAUGAGUUCUCCCUGACCCUUUAAGGGUCCUGAAGGAACGUUGAAGACGACGACGUUG